CCUACGGGUCGCAGCAGUGGGGUAUAUUGCACAAUGGGCGCAAGCCUGAUGCAGCCAUGCCGCGUGUGUGAAGGAGGCCUUCGGGUUGUAAAGCACUUUCAGCGGGGAGGAAGGCGGUGAGGUUAAUAACCUCAUCGAUUGACGUUACCCGCAGAAGAAGCACCGGCUAACUCCGUGCCAGCAGCCGCGGUAAUACGGAGGGUGCAAGCGUUAAUCGGAAUUACUGGGCGUAAAGCGCACGCAGGCGGUCUGUCAAGUCGGAUGUGAAAUCCCCGGGCUCAACCUGGGAACUGCAUUCGAAACUGGCAGGCUGGAGUCUUGUAGAGGGGGGUAGAAUUCCAGGUGUAGCAGUGAAAUGCGUAGAGAUCUGGAGGAAUACCGGUGGCGAAGGCGGCCCCCUGGACAAAGACUGACGCUCAGGUGCGAAAGCAUGGGGAGCAAACAGGAUUAGAUACCCCGGUAGUC
This 465-nucleotide ribosomal RNA is filed under the name uncultured bacterium. Its description in RNAcentral is "bacterial SSU rRNA". It matches the Rfam family "Bacterial small subunit ribosomal RNA", at positions 338 to 795 of the family's 1533-position model. The record is from RNAcentral.